GGCUAAGGGAGAGGGAAGUUUGAGGACCUGGGUGAGAUGAAAAACACAAGAAGCACUAGGUGCUGGUUGGUGGUGGAGGAGCUGUACUGCUGCAGGACUGUUCCUUGAUGGAGGAUGCUGCAGAUCAGAGCUGAGUGGACCUUGUUGAGACUAAAACAUGACAAGGAGUGUUGUAGGGUGAGGACCAACGAUGUUACGGGUCAGCAGUGGUGAGACCAAUGAUGAUGCAGCAUGAUGGAAGCCUGCUGGAGAGUGCCUGAGCUUCUUGCUCCAAGACACCCACUGCGUCGGGGAGCUCCAUGAAGGAGGAACCGGUCCUGGUCCUAAACAGUUCCUCGAUUUUGUGGAUGAAAUCAUA
Molecule: long non-coding RNA, 358 nt
Organism: Epinephelus fuscoguttatus (brown-marbled grouper)
Lineage: Eukaryota; Metazoa; Chordata; Actinopteri; Perciformes; Serranidae
Exons: 4
Source: RefSeq, a predicted model, not a curated record